This 337-nucleotide unclassified non-coding RNA is filed under the name soil metagenome. RNAcentral's name for it is "partial contains 5.8S ribosomal RNA, internal transcribed spacer 2, and large subunit ribosomal RNA". The stretch from base 1 to 120 matches the Rfam family "5.8S ribosomal RNA", at positions 35 to 154 of the family's 154-position model. The record is from RNAcentral.
GAUGAAGAACGUAGCGAAAUGCGAUAAGUAAUGUGAAUUGCAGAAUUCAGUGAAUCAUCGAAUCUUUGAACGCACAUUGCGCCCGCCAGUAUUCUGGCGGGCAUGCCUGUUCGAGCGUCAUUUCAACCAUCAAGCCCCCGGGCUUGUGUUGGGGACCUGCGGCUGCCGCAGGCCCUGAAAAGCAGUGGCGGGCUCGCUGUCACACCGAGCGUAGUAGCAUACAUCUCGCUCUGGGCGUGCUGCGGGUUCCGGCCGUUAAACCACCUUCAUAACCCAAGGUUAACCUCGGAUCAGGUAGGAAGACCCGCUGAACUUAAGCAUAUCAAUAAGCGGAGGA